GAUGAAGAACGUAGCAAAAUGCGAUAAGUAAUGUGAAUUGCAGAAUUCAGUGAAUCAUCGAAUCUUUGAACGCACAUUGCGCCCGCUGGUAUUCCGGCGGGCAUGCCUGUUCGGGCGUCAUUUCAACCCUCAAGCCCCCGGGUUUGGUGUUGGGGAUCGGCUCUGCCCUUCUGGGCGGUGCCGCCCCCGAAAUACAUUGGCGGUCUCGCUGCAGCCUCCAUUGCGUAGUAGCUAACACCUCGCAACUGGAACGCGGCGCGGCCAUGCCGUAAAACCCCAACUUCUGAAUGUUGACCUCGGAUCAGGUAGGAAUACCCGCUGAACUUAAGCAUAUCAAUAAGCGGAGGA
RNAcentral lists this unclassified non-coding RNA (348 nucleotides) under soil metagenome. RNAcentral's name for it is "partial contains 5.8S ribosomal RNA, internal transcribed spacer 2, and large subunit ribosomal RNA". The stretch from base 1 to 120 matches the Rfam family "5.8S ribosomal RNA", at positions 35 to 154 of the family's 154-position model. The record is from RNAcentral.